ACACGACUACAUUAGAUACCCGGGGUAGUCCUAGCCGUAAACGAUACUCGCUAGGUGUCGGCCACGGUGCGACCGUUGUCGGUGCCGUAGGGAAGCCGUGAAGCGAGCCACCUGGGAAGUACGGCCGCAAGGCUGAAACUUAAAGGAAUUGGCGGGGGAGCACCACAACGGGUGGAGCUUGCGGUUUAAUUGGAUUCAACGCCGGAAAUCUUACCGGGACCGACAGCAACAUGAAGGCCAGGCUGAAGACUUUGCCGGAUUAGCUG
RNAcentral lists this ribosomal RNA (266 nucleotides) under uncultured archaeon. Its description in RNAcentral is "partial 16S ribosomal RNA". It matches the Rfam family "Archaeal small subunit ribosomal RNA", at positions 717 to 982 of the family's 1478-position model. The record is from RNAcentral.